RNAcentral lists this ribosomal RNA (508 nucleotides) under uncultured bacterium. RNAcentral's name for it is "partial 16S ribosomal RNA". It matches the Rfam family "Bacterial small subunit ribosomal RNA", at positions 28 to 523 of the family's 1533-position model. The record is from RNAcentral.
GAUGAACGCUAGCUACAGGCUUAACACAUGCAAGUCGAGGGGCAGCAUGAAAGGAACUUCGGUUCUUUUUGAUGGCGACCGGCGCACGGGUGCGUAACGCGUAUCGAACCUGCCUCAUACUCGGGGAUAGCCUUGCGAAAGUAAGAUUAAUACCCGGCGGUCUCGGAUGGCCGCAUGACUGUCCGAGUGAAGAUUUAUCGGUAUGAGAUGGCGAUGCGUCCCAUUAGCUAGUUGGUGAGGUAACGGCUCACCAAGGCAUCGAUGGGUAGGGGUUCUAGGAGGAAGGUCCCCCACAUUGGAACUGAGACACGGUCCAAACUCCUACGGGAGGCAGCAGUGAGGAAUAUUGGUCAAUGGACGAAAGUCUGAACCAGCCAAGUAGCGUGCAGGACGACGGCCCUCUGGGUUGUAAACUGCUUUUAGUUGGGAGUAAAAAGAGGGACGUGUCCCUUAUUGUAUGUACCAUCAGAAAAAGGACCGGCUAAUUCCGUGCCAGCCGCCGCCGUAA